RNAcentral lists this ribosomal RNA (324 nucleotides) under Triticum aestivum (bread wheat). RNAcentral's name for it is "partial small subunit ribosomal RNA". The record is from RNAcentral. Lineage: Eukaryota; Viridiplantae; Streptophyta; Magnoliopsida; Poales; Poaceae.
AUACAUCCAGUCUUCCAUAUAUCCCAGCUAAAACCAUUCACUCCAAACUACUCACCAGUGUUCUCUAAACUUCCCAGCACAGUGGAUCUAACGACAGUGGAUACUACACCUGUGGCUAUCUUGGACAGGCGGGUGAUGAAACAAGACAAUGCUUCCGUGGUUCAGCUCGAUGUGCAGUGGGACAAACCAGCAACAACGACGACAUGGGAGGAUUACGAUGUUCUCCAUCGACGCUUUCCAGAUGCUUCAAUCAGGAACCAUCAAGACUCGAGCGAGGACGCUCGUUCUGAAGACAGGGAGAGUGUCACACCAGCCACGAUGUGA